UGGGGAAUAUUGCACAAUGGACGGAAGUUUGAUGCAGCGACGCCGCGUGGAGGGUGUAGGCCUUCGGGUUGUGAACUCCUUUUUCUCGCGAAAAAGGCACAGUUUUGGCUGUGUUGAUGGUAGUGGGGGAAGAAGCGCCGGCUAACUACGUGCCAGCAGCCGCGGUAAUACGUAGGGCGCGAGCGUUGUCCGGAUUUAUUGGGCGUAAAGAGCUCGUAGGUGGUUCGUCGCGUCUGUCGUGAAAGCCAGCAGCUUAACUGUUGGUCUGCGGUGGGUACGGGCGGGCUUGAGGGCGGUAGGGGUGACUGGAAUUCCUGGUGUAGCGGUGGAAGGCGCAGAUAUCAGGAGGAACACCGAUGGCGAAGGCAGGUCACUGGGCCGUUACUGACACUGAGGAGCGAAAGCGUGGGGAGCGAACAGG
Molecule: ribosomal RNA, 421 nt
Filed under: Fusobacteriota bacterium
Lineage: Bacteria; Fusobacteriati; Fusobacteriota
Description: Fusobacteria bacterium partial 16S ribosomal RNA
Rfam family: Bacterial small subunit ribosomal RNA
Source: RNAcentral